CUCCUUGACAAUAACAACAUAUUAGUUGUUAUUUCAUCUACUUUUUUUUUGACAUCUUAUGUAUUUGAAGAUUUUUUUUCGUCAAAUAAUCGAUCACAGAUAUCUUUUGUUUCAAAGCGUUAAACAAUAUCCUGAAAUUCAUUACAUGACGUCACAAAGUAUGUCGGUUUUUAGAUAUUCUAAAAAUAACCGUGCAAUAUGCUUUUUGCCGGUCAAUAUGCUUUUUGCUAUCCGCCGUUUUCUCUCUACCUUCGAAAAUAUAGUUUAACAUGUGACUAUCCCUAAACGAAUCAAAUUUGUUAAAAUAUACGAAUUAAUAAUAUUUUUAAAUA
This 332-nucleotide long non-coding RNA is filed under the name Mytilus galloprovincialis (Mediterranean mussel). The record is from RNAcentral. Lineage: Eukaryota; Metazoa; Mollusca; Bivalvia; Mytilida; Mytilidae.